UGGCAUACCACCAUUUUUUCGGCCACUUGAAUUGUAAAAUGGUAAUCCUUUAAGACUCGUAAUGUACGUAUUUUCAGCAAUGGGAACAACUUGAACAUGUUGCACCAUUUAAAUGUGUUUGAUGUGAUGAAUAGUUUGACAACAAAAGAGCUUGUAUGUUAUUGUUAUGUAUCAAGCAUGUGAUAAUGUGAAUAUAGUCCUUCAUAAUACUUGAAUAUUGAGUUGUAAGUUUUUGAAUGUGAUAUGUAAGUCGUUUAUGGAUUUUUUAAGCA
Molecule: non-coding RNA, 272 nt
Organism: Nicotiana tabacum (common tobacco)
Lineage: Eukaryota; Viridiplantae; Streptophyta; Magnoliopsida; Solanales; Solanaceae
Source: RefSeq, a predicted model, not a curated record